UCUGGCUCAGUCUUAACAUGCAGUCGACGGCAGCACGGGAGCAAUCCUGGUGGCGAGUGGCGAUGGCGAGUAAUACAUCGGAACGUGCCCAGUAGUGGGGGAAGCCCGGCGAAAGCCGGAUUAAUACCGCAUACGACCUACGGGUGAAAGCGGGGGACCGAAAGGCCUCGCGCUAUUGGAGCGGCCGAUGUCAGAUUAGGUUGUUGGUGGGGUAAAAGCCUACCAAGCCGACGAUCUGUAGCUGGUCUGAGAGGACGGCCAGCCACACUGGGACUGAGACACGGCCCAGACUCCUACGGGAGGCAGCAGUGGGGAAUUUUGGACAAUGGGCGCAAGCCUGAUCCAGCCAUGCCGCGUGCGGGAAGAAGGCCUUCGGGUUGUAAACCGCUUUUGUCAGGGAAGAAACGCGCUGAGCUAAUA
Molecule: ribosomal RNA, 420 nt
Filed under: uncultured bacterium
Lineage: Bacteria
Description: bacterial SSU rRNA
Rfam family: Bacterial small subunit ribosomal RNA
Source: RNAcentral